UGUGCCUAAGCAAACAUUUGGAAAAGCCAUCAGACUCACAGUAAAUUCAAACAAAAGUCCUGUCCGCCCAACACUGUCCAUCCUCACCCCAGGUGGGACUGAGGGUGGCAGUCCUGAGGUGUGCCUGGCAGCAGGCUUCUUACCCAAGGAUGAAGUCAUGAAUCUGACCCAGGUGAAAAAGGGUCCUUUAAGCCACAGGACAAUCACUGCAGCUUUGUCAAGUAGUAAUACCUUCUACUAUGCGGGAUACUCCGAAGACGGUAUAGAGAACUGUGAGAUGAUGAACGUUAAGGCUGAGAGAACGAAGAGUACCAGUGAUGAUGACGGAACAAAGAGUACCAGUGAUAAUGACCCUACCAAAGGUAGUGACAUAGCUGUUCCUACUUCGGUCGUUUGCAAAGAUGAGGAACCCCCCUCUGAUCAAACUGAUACCAACUAUCCCAAUUACACAAAGGUGAACUUCACAUCACUAGUUGUGUAUGGUUUAAGAGUUCUGUUUGCCAAAGCCGUGGCAUUCAAUGUGUUAUUUACUGUCAAGGCCCUUGUGUUCUAGACCUAUUUGGACUACACAUAAUCAGUUCUAAUUUCCUUCCACGUUUGGUUUGUCAAUAGCUUUUUUACAAAAUAUAAUUAUUUAGUGAUUUUCUCUGUGUUGAAUGCUGUAAUGCUCCCUGCUUGCAAUUUGGAAAUACUAGAGACACGUACUGAAAAACAUUUAUUGUGAAUAUUUCUAUUUACUUUUAUUAUUAUUGUAUUAUUUGUAUUUUAAGUACAUGAAUGCUUUGCAGUUUGUUUAGAAAUGUACAAAGCCUGCCACUAGAGAACCCUAACCACGUUUUCACCAGUACAUUGAAACAGUCAAACCAUAUUAACAGAUUAAGAUCUUUCAGACACCUUGACUUCCAAGAAAUGGCUCCAACUGUUACUUUAUUCGCAUGCGUGCUUGAGCAGUAAGAAGCAUGCAUUAGUGACAAACACAUAGAAUGGAUAUCAACAGUCUACACGUCCUUAUUGAAAAUGCAGCUGGUUUUUAUUUAAUGCUGUAAUCAAAACAAAUAAUUUCAUACUUUUUAGCCAACAACAUUUAAGUGAAUAACAUUUUAAUUUAACAUCAACCUAACCAACCUGCAUUUUAAAUUGUGCCCAGUAGUCAUGUUGAAAAGUAAUAUAAUUCUCUAACUUUCUGGCAUAGGGCAGAAGGGUUUGUGCCACAAUCUUCUUUUAAAUGAUAUCUGGAACGAUCCUGACCAGAGAC
Esox lucius (northern pike) is the source of this 1255-nucleotide long non-coding RNA. Lineage: Eukaryota; Metazoa; Chordata; Actinopteri; Esociformes; Esocidae. The record is from Ensembl.